This 497-nucleotide ribosomal RNA is filed under the name uncultured bacterium. Its description in RNAcentral is "partial 16S ribosomal RNA". It matches the Rfam family "Bacterial small subunit ribosomal RNA", at positions 28 to 507 of the family's 1533-position model. The record is from RNAcentral.
GAUGAACGCUGGCGGCGUGCCUAAUACAUGCAAGUCGAACGCAUAGCGAAAGGUGCUUGCACCUUUCAAGUGAGUGGCGAACGGGUGAGUAACACGUGGACAACCUGCCUCAAGGCUGGGGAUAACAUUUGGAAACAGAUGCUAAUACCGAAUAAAACUUAGUGUCGCAUGACACAAAGUUAAAAGGCGCUUCGGCGUCACCUAGAGAUGGAUCCGCGGUGCAUUAGUUAGUUGGUGGGGUAAAGGCCUACCAAGACAAUGAUGCAUAGCCGAGUUGAGAGACUGAUCGGCCACAUUGGAACUGAGACACGGCCCAAACUCCUACGGGAGGCUGCAGUAGGGAAUCUUCCACAAUGGGCGAAAGCCUGAUGGAGCAACGCCGCGUGUGUGAUGAAGGCUUUCGGGUCGUAAAGCACUGUUGUAUGGGAAGAACAGCUAGAAUAGGAAAUGAUUUUAGUUUGACGGUACCAUACCAGAAAGGGACGGCUAAAUACGUG